Molecule: ribosomal RNA, 1751 nt
Filed under: Parvilucifera sinerae
Lineage: Eukaryota; Perkinsozoa; Perkinsida; Perkinsidae
Description: SSU rRNA
Rfam family: Eukaryotic small subunit ribosomal RNA
Source: RNAcentral
GCCAGUAGUUAUAUGCUUGUCUCAAAGAUUAAGCCAUGCAUGUGUAAGUAUAAACCUUUAGGUGAAACUGCGAAUGGCUCAUUAUAACAGUUACAAUUUAUUUAGUGGUUGAAUUUUACAUGGAUAACUGUAGUAAUUCUAGAGCUAAUACAUGAGAAGAGAUCGGACUCUACGGAACGAUCGCACUUAUUAGAUACAAAACCAUCGUAACCCACGGUUACUAGUAAAGGGUGAUUCAUUAUAAAUGUGUAGACUGUCGCAGGACAGUGUACUAUUCAAAUUUCUGACCUAUCAGCUCUCGAUGGUAAGAUAGAGGCUUACCAUGGCAUUGACGGGUAACGGGGAAUUAGGGUUCGACUCCGGAGAGGGAGCCUGAGAAACGGCUACCACAUCUAAGGAAGGCAGCAGGCGCGCAAAUUACCCAAUCCUGACAUAGGGAGGUAGUGACAAGAAAUAUCAAUACAUGGUUUUAUUCUAUGUAAUUGGAAUGAGGGAAUUUUAAAUAUAUAUUCGAGUAACAAUUGGAGGGCAAGUCUGGUGCCAGCAGCCGCGGUAAUUCCAGCUCCAAUAGCGUAUGCUAAAGUUGUUGCGGUUAAAAAGCUCGUAGUUGGAAUUUAGCCCAAGUCAACCGCGUCGCACCAAAUGGUGUAAUGCAGGGUGUACUAGGCUCUCUUCAAUUCCUAUAUGCAUUCUUCAGUGAAUGGUAUGGGUUUCGAAGCAUUUACUUUGAAGAAAUUAGAGUGUUUCAAGCAGGUUAUACGCCGUGAAUAUGUUAGCAUGGAAUAACAAAAGAAGACAUUGGUCUUAUUUUGUUGGUUUAUAUCACCAAUGUAAUAAUUAAUAGGAACAAUCAGGGGCAUUCGUAUUCGCUUGUUAGAGGUGGAAUUCUUGGAUCUUGCGAGGACGCUCGACUGCGAAAGCAUCUGUCAGGAAUGUUUUCAUUAAUCAAGAACGAAAGUUAGGGGAUCGAAGACGAUUAGAUACCGUCCUAGUCUUAACCAUAAACUAUGCCAACUAGAGAUUGGAGACUAUCACACUGUGAUGUCUUCAGCAUCUAAUGGGAAACCAAAGUCUAUGGGUUCCGGGGGGAGUAUGGUCGCAAGGCUGAAACUUAAAGGAAUUGACGGAAGGGCACCACCAGGAGUGGAGCCUGCGGCUUAAUUUGACUCAACGCGGGAAACCUUACCAGGUCCAGACAUAAGAAGGAUUGACAGAGAAAAAGCUCUUUCAUGAUUUUAUGGGUGGUGGUGCAUGGCCGUUCUUAGUUGGUGGAGUGAUUUGUCUGGUUAAUUCCGUUAACGAACGAGACCUUGACCUACUAAAUAACAUGAAUUUACGCCGUAAACGUUGUGUUUCUUANGGGGANUUUGUACAUAUAGUGCAAGGAAGUACGANGCAAUAACAGGUCUGUGAUGNCCUUAGAUGUUCUGGGCUGCACGCGCGCUACACUGACNCAAGCAGAGAGUUUCCCUUCUGAAAGGAAUGGAGAAUCUUGAAGUUGUGUCGUGAUGGGGAUAGUUUAUUGCAAUUAUUAAACUUGAACGAGGAAUUCCUAGUAAGUGUAAGGAAAUAACUUGCGCUGAUUACGUCCCUGCCCUUUGUACACACCGCCCGUCGCUCCUACCGAUUGAGUUAUCCGGUGAACUAUUUGGACCAUCCUUAGGACUAAUGUCAUCUGGAGGGGAAGUUUCGUGAACCUUAUAACUUAGAGGAAGGAGAAGUCGUAACAAGGUUUCUGUAGGUGAACCUGC